AUUUGGAUAUUAGGUGCUAAAGGUGUCCCGUCUUCCCCCACCCUACUAUAUAAUGAUUAAACUAUAAUACCUGGUCUAUAUUUGAGAUGCAUGAGGAUAAACACUGUGUUUGGUUUGUUAUAUAUGUAAAGCUAUAAAGCCCUUUUAGUGAACAAAUGUUCUGUGUUACAUGGUACCUCCAUGCUUCAAUCGUUGCAUUCAGUGUUGCAACCAGUAUUUUAAAUGUGUGCUGAUAGGGCGAAAUUUUUAACAAACAUUUAGUGAAUAUCAAGAGAAUCGUGAAAGGAAGAUAUAGAAUCGAUGGGAGAAUCAUCUUUAUUAUGGUUCACACAACUUCAUGGGAUGACGGAAUACAAACUGUUGAAAUAGUAGCUUGAUGCCUUGUUUCAUAUCAUCAGAUAUUGGUUGCUCAAAUUAAUGCCUCAAAAUAUCUUGUUGGUAUAGUUGUAUUAAACUGCAUAAAAAUCGUAUAUACAGUCAUGUAUACAGUCACCAAUGUUAUUGUAUUCUUGUAAUGCUGCAUCAAUUGUUUAACUUCAUACAAAAGUUUCAGUGCUAUUGUGUAUAUUUUAUUGUCAUUAUUGUUGCAGUGGAUUUGCACAAAUGUAAGGGAUUAUGAAAUAUAAAAUGUUGAAAUGUUAGGUUUAUGCCCGGUUUAUUGUCAUCAUGUAUUCGGUGCUUAAGUUUUCUACAUAUUCCAACCAACUCAUCAAUGCACCAUAAUAUCUGUCGGUAUCAUGGUAGCAAACUGAGUAUAAUAUAUAUAAGAGCAUGUGCGCCACUGUUGUUUUAUUUUUGUAUGGUUGCAUCAUCUGUUUGACUUCAUCCAGUAGUUUCAGUGCUUCUAUGUGUUUUCCAUUGUCUAUUAGUGUUUUAGCACAUUUACAUAAAUGGAAUAUAAAUUGUUGAA
This is a non-coding RNA of Ciona intestinalis (vase tunicate), 910 nucleotides long. The record is from RefSeq and is a predicted model, not a curated record. NCBI's taxonomy places the organism in Eukaryota, Metazoa, Chordata, Ascidiacea, Phlebobranchia, Cionidae.